RNAcentral lists this unclassified non-coding RNA (338 nucleotides) under soil metagenome. Its description in RNAcentral is "partial contains 5.8S ribosomal RNA, internal transcribed spacer 2, and large subunit ribosomal RNA". The stretch from base 1 to 120 matches the Rfam family "5.8S ribosomal RNA", at positions 35 to 154 of the family's 154-position model. The record is from RNAcentral.
GAUGAAGAACGUAGCGAAAUGCGAUAAGUAGUGUGAAUUGCAGAAUUCAGUGAAUCAUCGAAUCUUUGAACGCACAUUGCGCCCUUUGGUAUUCCUUAGGGCAUGCCUGUUCGAGCGUCAUUUGAAACCUCAAGCUCAGCUUGGUGUUGGGUGUCUGUCCCCGCCUCACCGCGGGGACUCGCCUCAAAAUCAUUGGCGGCCGGUACGUUGGCUUCGAGCGCAGCAGAAACGCGAACUCGAGGCCCGGCGGAUCGGCGACCAGAAGUCACUUCUUCACAGUUUGACCUCGGAUCAGGUAGGGAUACCCGCUGAACUUAAGAAUAUCAAUAAGCGGAGGA